Molecule: long non-coding RNA, 306 nt
Filed under: Homo sapiens (human)
Lineage: Eukaryota; Metazoa; Chordata; Mammalia; Primates; Hominidae
Description: non-protein coding lnc-CRHR2-5:3
Source: RNAcentral
GCCACUACUGGCAUGAGGGGUCCCUCAGGGCCCCCAGGCCUCCUCUACGUCCCACACCUCCUCCUCUGCCUGCUCUGCCUCCUCCCACCGCCGCUCCAAUAGCAGCCGGGCAGAGCCAGAUGCCCAAAGACCAGCCCCUGUGGGCACUUCUGGAGCAGUACUGCCACACCAUCAUGACCCUCACCAACCUCUCAUCACGCCGGGCGCGCACUCCCACUCCCUCUCCGCACGCGGCUGCGGGACGCGAUGGACGCGGCACUGCUCCACAGCCUGCUGGAGGCCAACUGCAGCCUGGCGCUGGCUGAA